Molecule: unclassified non-coding RNA, 209 nt
Filed under: Hevea brasiliensis (rubber tree)
Lineage: Eukaryota; Viridiplantae; Streptophyta; Magnoliopsida; Malpighiales; Euphorbiaceae
Source: RNAcentral
GGGAGAUAAUUGCUGCAGAUGGUCGGCAUUCUGGUGCUGUAUGCAAUAAAUGUAUGGAACUAAAAGAGGUGUGCAUUUUACAGCUAUUGAAAAUGAUUGAAUUCUUGGAUGAUUAACAUCACAAAUGGCUACAUUGGGAGAUUUCCUGUGACAAAUGAUUUGAAAGGGAAGUGGUAAUGUGAAUUAAUCAACUGAUAUAAGUGUGUAAU